CCUACGGGAGGCAGCAGUGGGGAAUAUUGGACAAUGGGCGAAAGCCUGAUCCAGCAAUGCCGCGUGAGUGAUGAAGGCCUUCGGGUCGUAAAGCUCUUUUACCAGGGAUGAUAAUGACAGUACCUGGAGAAUAAGCUCCGGCUAACUCCGUGCCAGCAGCCGCGGUAAUACGGAGGGAGCUAGCGUUGUUCGGAAUUACUGGGCGUAAAGAGUACGUAGGCGGUUAUUCAAGUCAGAGGUGAAAGCCCGGGGCUCAACCCCGGAACUGCCUUUGAAACUAGAUAACUAGAGUCUUGGAGAGGUUAGUGGAAUUCCGAGUGUAGAGGUGAAAUUCGUAGAUAUUCGGAAGAACACCAGUGGCGAAGGCGACUAACUGGACAAGUACUGACGCUGAGGUACGAAAGCGUGGGGAGCAAACAGGAUUAGAUACCCUGGUAGUCCACGCCGUAAACGAUGAUAACUAGUUGUUCGGUCACUUGGUGACUGAGUGACGCAGCUAACGCAUUAAGUUAUCCGCCUGGGGAGUACGGUCGCAAGNUUAAAACUCAAAGGAAUUGACGGCUGAGAGNGCGAGACGACACGAGGAGAG
This 589-nucleotide ribosomal RNA is filed under the name uncultured bacterium. Its description in RNAcentral is "bacterial SSU rRNA". It matches the Rfam family "Bacterial small subunit ribosomal RNA", at positions 338 to 948 of the family's 1533-position model. The record is from RNAcentral.